UGACGUCUGGCAUUCAUCGUUUACGGUGUGGACUACCAGGGUAUCUAAUCCUGUUUGCUCCCCACACUUUCGCACCUCAGCGUCAGUAUCGAGCCAGUAAGCCGCCUUCGCCACUGGUGUUCCUCCAAAUAUCUACGAAUUUCACCUCUACACUUGGAAUUCCACUUACCUCUCUCGAACUCAAGACUAGCAGUAUUAAAGGCAGUUCCAGGGUUGAGCCCUGGGAUUUCACCUCUAACUUACUAAUCCGCCUACGUGCGCUUUACGCCCAGUAAUUCCGAACAACGCUAACCCCCUCCGUAUUACCGCGGCUGCUGGCACGGAGUUAGCCGGGGUUUCUUUACCAGAUACUGUCAUUAUCAUCUCUGGCGAAAGUGCUUUACGACCCUAAGGCCUUCAUCACACACGCGGCAUGGCUAGAUCAGGGUUUCCCCCAUUGUCUAAGAUUCCCUACUGCUGCCUCCCGUAGGAGUCUGGGCCGUGUCUCAGUCCCAGUGUGGCUGAUCAUCCUCUCAAACCAGCUAUAGAUCGUAGGCUUGGUAGGCCAUUACCCCACCAACUACCUAAUCUAACGCGGGCUAAUCCUUCUCCGAUAAAUCUUUCCCCCGAAGGGCGUAUAAGGUAUUACUCUCCGUUUCCAGAGGCUAUUCCUUAGAGAAGGGCAUAUUCCCACGCGUUACUCACCCGUCCGCCGCUCAUCCCGAAGGAUGCGCUCGACUUGCAUGUAUUAGGCCUGCCGCCAGCGUUCGUUCUGAGCCAGGAUCAAACUCU
Molecule: ribosomal RNA, 771 nt
Filed under: uncultured bacterium
Lineage: Bacteria
Description: partial 16S ribosomal RNA
Source: RNAcentral